CUGACGGAGCAACGCCGCGUGAGCGAUGAAGGUCUUCGGAUCGUAAAGCUCUGUUGUUAGGGAAGAACAAGUACCGUUCGAAUAGGUCGGUACCUUGACGGUACCUAACCAGAAAGCCACGGCUAACUACGUGCCAGCAGCCGCGGUAAUACGUAGGUGGCAAGCGUUGUCCGGAAUUAUUGGGCGUAAAGCGCGCGCAGGCGGUUCCUUAAGUCUGAUGUGAAAGCCCACGGCUCAACCGUGGAGGGUCAUUGGAAACUGGGGAACUUGAGUGCAGGAGAGGAGAGCGGAAUUCCACGUGUAGCGGUGAAAUGCGUAGAGAUGUGGAGGAACACCAGUGGCGAAGGCGGCUCUCUGGCCUGUAACUGACGCUGAGGCGCGAAAGCGUGGGGAGCGAACAGGAUUAGAUACCCUGGUAGUCCACGCCGUAAACGAUGAGUGCUAAGUGUUAGAGGGUUUCCGCCCUUUAGUGCUGCAGCUAACGCAUUAA
This 490-nucleotide ribosomal RNA is filed under the name Aeribacillus kexueae. Its description in RNAcentral is "bacterial SSU rRNA". It matches the Rfam family "Bacterial small subunit ribosomal RNA", at positions 383 to 863 of the family's 1533-position model. The record is from RNAcentral. Lineage: Bacteria; Bacillati; Bacillota; Bacilli; Caryophanales; Bacillaceae.